Molecule: transfer RNA, 67 nt
Filed under: Chlorogomphus shanicus
Lineage: Eukaryota; Metazoa; Arthropoda; Insecta; Odonata; Chlorogomphidae
Description: tRNA-His
Source: RNAcentral
GUUUAAAUAGUUUAAAUAAAAUAUUGAUUUGUGGAAUCAUUGAUGAAGCAUUUUGUUUCUUUAGACC